Neurospora crassa OR74A is the source of this 579-nucleotide non-coding RNA. The record is from RefSeq and is a predicted model, not a curated record. Lineage: Eukaryota; Fungi; Ascomycota; Sordariomycetes; Sordariales; Sordariaceae.
CACAUCCCGACAAACUACCUACCUACCUAUCCGAACGAGGCGUCAACGGCGCUGACGAACACGAGCCUGCCGGGUCACCAGCAAUGAUGGAGGAAGAAGACUAAAUUAUGCCUGCUAUGAGUCCACCCGUUCCCGUCGGAAGUCGGAAGACCUUCCCCUAACGAACCCGACCUAAGUUGAGCACAGGUCUCGCGCGGCUUCAAGCCACUGAUUCCACCCCACGACUUCCUGAUCUGGAAGCGCUCACACCACCAAUGUGCUUACCUAAAGAUCAGGCAUUCUCGGCCACGAACAUGGAUUACAUAGGAAACACUUCGGGGAGUUGGGGGAGGGAAUGUUGGCAGCCUUGGUCACUUGUCAGGAUCGUUGGACGUGUCGACAUGUAGUGCUCCGUUUGGGACAUGGAUGUAUGGCAAGGCAUGUGGCAAUCUCGUGCAACGGGCUGGUGGGAGAAGGACAAGGCGGAACAAAAGGACUUUAUGAGAAACGAAGAAAAGGAGGCAAGGAGGAGGUUGGACAAUGAAAGACAAAAGGUAGCAGGCGGCAAAUGUUUACAAGAAAGCCUGGCGAGAGGCAUCA